CGCACACAUGUGAAUGCACGCACAUGCACGUACACACACAUGCACGCAUACACACAGAUAUGUUCACACACACAGUCCCCAGUUCAGACCAUGUUUUGCUCUCAUUCCUUGCCCACCUCCUGUCCUUGCCUCCUCUCCUUUGGCAGACACAAAGCCAUAGGAGUUUAACGAUGAGCGGGAAGACAGAGCCAGAGGGAAGGACCGUGGACCUGUGUUCACAGACUGCAAGGGUGGUGAGCUGCCAGGACUCAAUUCCUAUCAGGUUCAGUUUCUCUGCAGUCUUUCCUUCCUCCCUCCCGCACUUCCCUCCGCACACCCACAUGUUGGCACUGACGUCCAUAGCUUCGCCUGUUAGCGUGUUCUCAUGUAGGUGCCCUGGGGUUCGGAUGACUUUUUUCCUAAUUACAAGAGCAACACAUGUUCAUAGUUACACAAAAGUCAAAUAUUGCAGAAGUGCACGUCAUUUGAAAACAUGUCACCUCACCCUGCAAAAGGCUCCACAAACCUUCCUUUGAAGCCAGUGUAAAAGGCAAAGUCCUUAACUGGCCCACUGACCUACUGACCCCUGACCUCUCCCACCCUCCUUAAUACACUGCUGUGUCCCUGUCCAGCCUGUCUGUGCUCCGGGGCCUUGUCACUAGCUAGUCUCCUCUUGGGAACUCUCCUGGAUAUCUGCAUGGCUUCUUUCUUAGUCAGCCUAGGUGACCUAAACUACAGGAAUUUAUUUUCUCAGUAUCCUGGAAGCCGAGAAGUAUGAGGUCAGUGUUCUGGCAAGUUUGAUUUCUGCCAAGGGCUACUGGCCUGGCCUAGCCUGGUCUUCCCUGGCCUGGCCUAGCUUAGCCUGGUCUGUCCUGUCCUGGCCUGUCCUGGCCUGGCCUGGCCUGGCUAGGUCUGUCCUGGCCUGUUCUGGCCUGCAGUCAGUCGUCUUAUAUCUUUUCCUAACUGUGCUCUUUGGAGUGAAUGGGUAAAAGACUGCUAUAAGGUUGUCUUUCUUUUCUUUUUUAAAUGUUUAUUUUAUCACAUGGAUAUUUUGUUUGCAUAUCACAUACGUGCCUGCCAGAAGAAGGUUUUCAAAACCCCUGGAGCUGGAGUUACAGGUGAGCCAUCAUGUAGGUGCUGGGAAUUGAACCUGGGUCCUCUGCAAGAACAGCAAGUGUUCCUAAGGCCUGAAUCAUCUUUCCAGCCCCCAUGGUUUUUCUUUUAAGUACUAAUUCCCACAGGCCAAGGGAAUCCUCUUUCCUUAUCACCAUAUUUAGCCCUAAGUACUUCAUUAGAGGACCCACUUUGCAACAGAGCAACGAAGUGGGUUAGGUUUCAAGACAUCCGUCCUUGUCAGUUCCCUUCGAGUUGUUUGAAAAUCAUUUCAUCAAGUUGGCCUGAUUCUCAGGAGAAGGGUGGGGGUUGGGGUAAGAGGAGGAAGAAGAGAAGGAGGAGGAGUCUCAGACCAUCCUUUACUAUAUAGCUUGGCCUGGUCUCCAUGAAACUCUGUCUCCAAAAAGAAAGAAAGCAUUUUCUCAAAGAAGCUUUCUGUUUUCUGGUCCUCUGUUCAAAACACUGAUAUUUCUCACAAUGCUCUGGGCCAAUUAGGGUCAUUGGGAUCUUUUGGAAAUUAGACUAGGUCUUUGUUUGCAUGUAUGUACCUUUCACAACUACUGUUAGAAGGCCUCACUUUGAAAAGUUAUCUCUUUGCAGAGGUCAACCCAUGCCUUUGGCUCAGGACAGUAACGGACAAGUAUUACAACACAAAUUUGCAAACUUUCUUAAAACACUUGGGAAUUUUUUUCUAAGUGGAUUUUGUGGUUCUAGAGUAUGACUUCUAUAAAUGACAACGUUAUACUACAAUAUCACACAAAACAAACAUACGUGUGCUCUCAAAACUCAUGGACCAAAGUUGUUCAUGCCUUUGACACAUGCAACCACAUGCAUACAGGCAUGUACACUCGUGAAUAAAUAGGUAUAAGAAGUGUCAAAUAAAACAAAAGUGUAGCCUCUUUCUUACUUUCCUAUGUAUUUUUAUCCUUGGCUAAGAAACUGUAAACUGCAUGCAAGUAGAGCUAUCUGGUUUUGUAUUCACUGAUUUUUCUUCAUUGUUUAUAAAGGAAACUGGCUUAUGAAUAUGCUAAAUGACUGAAUGCAUUAAUAUUAAUUUGAAAACAUCUUUCCAGAACACUUCUCUGUGAGUCACCCUGUAACUUUAGGAAUGCUUUCACUGUUAAAAAUGAGACCCGAAGAAGGUCUCAUCUUAUUUCAGGACAACUUCACACAGAUGGCUGGAAAACUAUCAUUGCCUGGACGUUGGGAAUGGGUAAGCAAGGCCUCUCUCUACAGGGCGUGCGAUGGCCAAAACACGGGCUGGAACUGUGGCUCAGGUGGUAGAGCAUUGCCUAACAAUGCAGAAAGCCCUGGGUGAUGCCCAGCACCACGUUAACCAGGUACUAUAGCCGUGACCCAAAACUCAGUCAUGGAGGAGAGAGAAUCAGAAGGUUCAAGGUCAUCCUGGGUUACAUAAUGAGCUUGAGGCAAACCUGAGCUACAUGGACACCACCUCAAAAGAAGCAAGCUGACUUUCCUGCCCAGACGUUCUGUCAGCCACAGAGAAGGCCCCUAGGUCACAUGCCUUGCUGUGCCUGGGCAGCUAUAUAAUCCAUCAAGUUCACCAACGACUUUAUUCCCUCUGGUAUUUCCUGGUAGGAGCAGAAAUGUGAAGGUCUUUUAGAGCUGGAGCCAAAAGACGCUGUAAAGGGUGACGGUGUUGAGUCUUUAAGGACCUUGUUCCUGGCUGGCACUGCACUGUUUGUGUCAAGUUGGAGCUUAAAGCCACCUGUCUGCUGAGGUCAGAGGACAAUGUCAGCUUUGCCCAGCACCUCCCUCUCCAGAGUGCUGGCUUAACGAGCCACACUUAAUAAUAGUAAAGGAAAGAAAUUCCAGGCAUGAGAAAGCACUCAAGUGAGCACAUUCAAAACACGCUCUGUUUUGCAGACCAGAGAGGAACGUCUGUGCUGCCUAAGAAAAACCCUUUGAGGAGCUGAGGGAGCAGCGCUUUGGUAAAGUGCUUGCCCACCACGCCUGAAGUCCUGCGUGAGGGAGCACAAGCCUGUAAUCCCAGCUCUUGUAAAACGAAGGCAGGAGGAUCAGAAGUUCAAGGCCACCUUCCACUAUAUAUGGAGUCCACGGACAGCCUGGGGACCCUGCCUCCAAAACAGAACUACUUGGCUAGUUAAUUUUAAAAUGAAAACCCUUUGAGACAAAUUGUACAGUACUGAUGCAGAAUAGGUCUUUAAAAAGUUAUUUUCCUUCUUUCUCUCUCUUCCUUCCUUCCUUCCUUCCUUCCUUCCUCCCUCCCUCCCUCCCUCCCUCCCUCCCUCCCUCCCUCCCUCCCUCCCUCCCUCCCUCUCUCUCUCUCUCUCUCUCUCUCUCUCUCUCUCUCUUUCUUUCUUUCUUUCUUUCUUUCUUUCUUUCUGUUUAAAUGUAAAGUUUUAGUAUUUGGGGGGGUGUGUUUAAUCAGAGGUUGGCACUGGGUAUGUUCCUCAAUUGCCACUUUAGUUUUUUAAGCAGGUCUCUUUCUGAACCAAUUCAGCUAGACUAAAUGGUCAGCAGGCCCUAGUGACCUGUGUCCACGUCCUCAGUGCUGGGUUACAGCCAUACUGCACACCUGGCUUUUGACCUGGGUACUGGAACCAGAAGCCGGUUCUCAUGCCUUGCAUCAAGCACUUUAUUGACUAGGGCAUCUUCCCAGACUUUAUUUCUAAACUCUAAAUAUGAUGUUUUGUCCUUAAUUACUCUACCCUUUUGUUAUCCUUUUGGAAGGUUGCAUCAUUGGUGGAAAGUGCCCUUGCUGGAAAGUGCCCUUGCCGGCAGAGCCAUCUCACUGGCCAGAGUCUGAUGUUCUUCUGUUUUUCCUGAGAGUCGCCCUCUCUUGGAUUCCUGUGAGUCACUGUCCCCUGUGAAGCGGCUUGAGAAGAAUGCCUGGCAUCAUUUGUGUGCUCUAACUCCAACUGGAGAUGUUGACUGUGCUAUCGUCCCAGCCGGCUUUUCCUCUCAGUGUUGUUUUUCCUUGAAGAAGUUUCUUUGUUACUAUUCAGCUUAAGUGAAGUCAUCACUGAAGGAAAGAGCAGAAGGAAUUCGGAAUAGUUUUAAUAAACUUCUGAACCCAGC
Molecule: RNA transcript, 4155 nt
Organism: Mus musculus (house mouse)
Lineage: Eukaryota; Metazoa; Chordata; Mammalia; Rodentia; Muridae
Gene name: RIKEN cDNA D830014E11 gene
Exons: 2
Source: RefSeq, a predicted model, not a curated record